AGGACGAACGCUGGCGGCGUGCUUAACACAUGCAAGUCGAACGGGAGUAUUGAAGAAGCUUGCUUUAGAGAUACUUUAGUGGCGGACGGGUGAGUAACGCGUGAGGAGCUGUCCUAUGCAGGGGGACAACAGCUGGAAACGGCUGCUAAUACCCCAUAAGCCGAGAGGUAAAAGGAUCAAUCCGGCAGAGGAGGUACUCGCGUCCUAUCAGCUAGUAGGUGAGGUAACGGCUCACCUAGGCGAAGACGGGUAGCCGGCCUGAGAGGGCGAACGGCCACACUGGAACUGAGAUACGGUCCAGACUCCUACGGGAGGCAGCAGUGGGGAAUAUUGGGCAAUGGGGGGAAACCCUGACCCAGCGACGCCGCGUGGGUGAAGAAAUCCUUCGGGAUGUAAAGCCCUGUUGUAUGGGAAGAGCGGAAGACGGUACCAUACGAGGAAGCCCCGGCAAACUACGUGCCAGCCGCUGC
Molecule: ribosomal RNA, 470 nt
Filed under: uncultured bacterium
Lineage: Bacteria
Description: bacterial SSU rRNA
Rfam family: Bacterial small subunit ribosomal RNA
Source: RNAcentral